UGAGGAAUAUUGGACAAUGGAGGCAACUCUGAUCCAGCCAUGCCGCGUGCAGGAAGACUGCCCUAUGGGUUGUAAACUGCUUUUAUAUAGGAAGAAACCUUGGUACGUGUACCAAGCUGACGGUACUAUAAGAAUAAGGAUCGGCUAACUCCGUGCCAGCAGCCGCGGUAAUACGGAGGAUCCAAGCGUUAUCCGGAAUCAUUGGGUUUAAAGGGUCCGUAGGUGGAUAAUUAAGUCAGAGGUGAAAUCUUGCAGCUCAACUGUAAAAUUGCCUUUGAUACUGGUUAUCUUGAGUUAUUAUGAAGUAGUUAGAAUAUGUAGUGUAGCGGUGAAAUGCAUAGAUAUUACAUAGAAUACCAAUUGCGAAGGCAGAUUACUAAUAAUCAACUGACACUGAUGGACGAAAGCGUGGGUAGCGAACAGG
Molecule: ribosomal RNA, 424 nt
Filed under: uncultured bacterium
Lineage: Bacteria
Description: bacterial SSU rRNA
Rfam family: Bacterial small subunit ribosomal RNA
Source: RNAcentral